This 200-nucleotide long non-coding RNA is filed under the name Mustela putorius furo (domestic ferret). Its description in RNAcentral is "lncRNA (ENSMPUG00000028260.1)". The record is from RNAcentral. Lineage: Eukaryota; Metazoa; Chordata; Mammalia; Carnivora; Mustelidae.
CAGGUCUCAAACUCUCAAUCCACAGGCCUUUGCGUGUGCUCUUCUCCCCACCUGAAAUCCUCCCCCACCGAAUGCCUGUCUGGGAUCAAAUGUCACCUCCUCCAAGAAGCCUUCCUGACCCUCCUUGAGCCACACCCUACAGUCCAACUCUUCCCCGUGUGGCCAAGAUCCCUUCUGCUUUCCAGCCUGCUGCCCAGCCC